This 75-nucleotide transfer RNA is filed under the name Flavobacteriaceae bacterium. RNAcentral's name for it is "tRNA-Thr". It matches the Rfam family "tRNA". Rfam says of the family: Transfer RNA (tRNA) molecules are approximately 80 nucleotides in length. Their secondary structure includes four short double-helical elements and three loops (D, anti-codon, and T loops). Further hydrogen bonds mediate the characteristic L-shaped molecular structure. tRNAs have two regions of fundamental functional importance: the anti-codon, which is responsible for specific mRNA codon recognition, and the 3' end, to which the tRNAs corresponding amino acid is attached (by aminoacyl-tRNA synthetases). tRNAs cope with the degeneracy of the genetic code in two manners: having more than one tRNA (with a specific anti-codon) for a particular amino acid; and 'wobble' base-pairing, i.e. permitting non-standard base-pairing at the 3rd anti-codon position. The record is from RNAcentral. Lineage: Bacteria; Pseudomonadati; Bacteroidota; Flavobacteriia; Flavobacteriales; Flavobacteriaceae.
GCCGAUGUAGCUCAGCUGGCUAAAUGACUGAUUUGUAAUCAACAGGUCGUGGGUUCCGAGUCCCUCCAUCGGCUC